Long non-coding RNA from Eriocheir sinensis (Chinese mitten crab), 4738 nucleotides. RefSeq lists it as uncharacterized. Lineage: Eukaryota; Metazoa; Arthropoda; Malacostraca; Decapoda; Varunidae. The record is from RefSeq and is a predicted model, not a curated record. The transcript is spliced from 2 exons.
ACACACACACACACACACACACACACACACACACACACACACACACACACACACACACACACACACUUCUGCUCCUCAUCUUACUUGUCACCUGCACUCACGCACUCACCUAUUCUCUCUCUCUCUCUCUCUCUCUCUCUCUCUCUCUCUCUCUCUCUCUCUCUCUCUCUCUCUCUCUCACACACACACACACACACACAUCACGUACAAUACAAAUUUACAAGAAUUCUUAUAACGUAAUGUGAGGCCGUGACCAAGUGGAAGUGCACACAAUGAUUGGCCAGUGAAAGUAUGUAAGUGUGUGUAUGUAUGUAUGUAUGAACACAUGAGUGAGCUUCAUGCAUGGCCCUCAUAUGGACUUCCAGGAGAUGUGAGAGAAAGGAGAGUCGAAAAGGGUUGGGAAAGGAAGGAGAAUAGCAGGAGGGGUGUGUGUGUGUGUGUGUGUGUGUGUGUGUGUGUGUGUGUGUGUGUGUGUGUGUGUGAAGUGAAUAGGAUCGAGUGAAUUAAAAGGGAGACGGAGAGGAGGAAAAUGUAUAUAUAGGUGAAUGGACGGGCGCUUCAAAGAGCGAAGGGCUUAAGGAGGGGCUGAUAAUUAAGGAGUGGAGGACUGAGUGAAUGAAAUGAACAGAGGGACUGAGAAAAGCCUGUAAGAGAGAGAGAGAGAGAGAGAGAGAGAGAGAGAGAGAGAGAGAGAGAGAGAGAGAGAGAGAGAGAGAGAGAGAGAGAGAGAGAGAGAGAGAGAAGCCCAGUAAUUCUAUCUGAGGGUGUAGUGUUCAUCGCUUGAUCCCUGGAGAGAGGACACGUAAGAAACGGCUAACCGACUAGAACAGACAAAACUUGGGUUAGGCCUCACAAAGGUAACCGACCAGCCUCCAUUACCCUCAAGUGAGAGAACGCUCACCCUCAAUAGUAACACAACCUGACCUAACCUGACCUGACCUCAAGCUAGAGAGUCAGUCCUCGCAUCACUAUUAUAUUAUUAUUUGUGAUUUUUGUGCCUUUUCAUGCAUAUUGUUUCCUUUAUUUUGAGACGCCUCUGUUUGAUAAAUUAGGACGAAGGUGAGAAGGGGCGGUACCUUGUGAGGGGGUGUGAGGGGGCAGAUGUGGGGGGUGAUAGGCAAUGGUAUCGUCUUGCGUAUAGGCUUUUCGUACACACACACACACACACACACACACACACACACACACACACACACACACGGGAUAGUAUCAAGUCGUCACCGAGGUUCAUGACCCCUUUCCGAGCCUCGAAGCAGGAUACAGGCGGUCUAGGCGCUACGAAUGACUGCCUGGGAGAACGACUCACUGAUUGACGGACUGUUUGACUCACUGGCCGCCUGACUGAUGUCCUCUUGUUUGCUUGUCUGCUUGCCUGCUUUAUUGAUUGGCGGGGCUGUCUGACUUUCCGCUUGGAUGACUCCUGCUGGCUGACGAACUCGUAUUGUUUAUUAUAAUUUGUCUGAAGUUUCUGAUGUCAUUCAUGUGCUAUGUAUCAUUUUUCCGUUGUAAUAUUGUAGUGUAUCAGUCCUUUCCCUCUUUCUACCUUAUUUUAUUAUCUGUCGGUGAUAUGAGAAGGAGAGUAAAGUGAGAUAUCGAGGAUGAAGUAGAAAGGAAUCGAGAGUCGCAAGAAGACUACUUUACGGACGGUCUGUUUUUGCAUCUAUUUAUCUAUUUUUCGUUAAUAAGAGAAGAAAAAUAAGGUGAGAUAUCGAGGGUGAGAUGGAAAAAUAUAUCGAGGGUGAGAUGGAAAAAUAUAUCGAGGGUGAGAUGGAAAAAUAUAUCGAGGGUGAGAUGGAAAAAUAUAUCGAGGGGUGUUGGGCGACUAUUAUACCUUAUGUCGGAUCAUAACAACUCUUGCUUACUGUUUACAAGCUAGAUUCUGUCUUAGGCGACACGGAUUGAGGAAAAGAUGCAGAGAUAUACAGUAUAUUCAGCGACGACUUUCUCCCACUCCCUCCGGCUGAUGCAGGAGGGGGAAACUGUUUUAUGCAGCCUUAUGGGACCGGUCUGAAGAGGAGAAAGUUGAAAAUAGGGAUGACAGUAAAGAGAGGGUAGAGGAGUUAGAGGAAGCGGAAGAUAAUGGUGUAUGAAAAGCAGGUAGAUGGAGAAAGAAAUUGUAGCUGUAAAGGUAGAAGAGGUAGAGAAGACAUGCAAGAAGGAAAUGUGCGUUGUAGGGAAGGGAGAGGGGAAGGAAACCAGAUGGAAGGUUCCGAAGAGUUUUGGAGAAGCAGAAAGAGUGCGAGGAAUGGGAAAGUAUGUGAAAUGUAAGAGGAGUAGGAAUUCAGGAAGAGAGAGGUAUUCAUAGAGUGAAGGAGGUGAAGGAAAGGAAGAAGAGGAAGGGAGAUGACUGGAGUGGAGGGAGAGGAACGAUAGAUAAGGAAGUGAAAGGUAGGGAGGCAGGGAAGAGAGAAAAAGGGAUGGAAAUGUGUGUAGUAGAGGAGGGUGAGGGAAAGAAAGGGAGGUGGAAGGUAAGGAGGUAGGGGAAGGAGAAUCAUUGAUGUAGCUAAGGCAGGUAAAGGGAAGAAAAGAACAGGGAAGGUAAGGAGGUAUAAAGUCAGGAAGGGAGGGUGAGGGUGAGGGGAAGAAAAGAUGUAAGGUAGGGAGGUAGGGGAGUGGAUGUGGGUGAGGGGAAAGAAAGGAAGGGGAUAGUAAGAAAUUGACCCCGAAAUUGACCUCUUUUCCGGCCACCUCUUUGGGUUCUUUUUGGGAGCAGCGAGUAGCGGGCUUUAUUUUAUUAUUGUUUCCUUUUUUGUGUGCCUUUGAGCUGUCUCCUUUAUUGUAAAAAAAAAAAAAGAGAGAGAGAAUAGGAACAUCAGGAGGAGGAGGAGGGAGGGAGGAAAAGAUGUAAGGUACUGAGGUAGGGAAAGGAAAAAUAAGGAGACAGGAGAGGGAAGUAGAGAAGGAAGAGGAGAGGAAAACGAGAUGGAAGGCAAGAGGAUAUGAAAAUUAGGAAGAGAGGAGGAGGAGAAGGGAAAGGAAAGAAGGUGACAGGUAAGGAGGGAGGGAAAGGAAAAGUAGGGAAACAUAUGAGGGAAACAAUCGGAAAUGGAAGGUAAGACAAUACGUAUGAAAAUCAGAAAAGAGGAGGAGGAGGGAAACGAAAGGAAGUGGAAGGUGAGGAAGGAGGGAAAGGAGAAAUAAGGAGACAUCUGAGUGUAAAGUGGAGGAGGGUGAGGGGAAGGUAAGGAGUAAGGGAGAGUGAUGAGAGAUAUAUGUGAAUCGGAGAAGGGCGAGGAGAAGAAAGAGAGAUGUGAGGUAAAACUAAAAAGGUAGGGAGAAAUAGUGAUGGGGAUGAUUAAGGAGUUGAGGGUGAGGGGAAGAAAAGGACAUGAAAGGUAAGAGUUAGGAGAACCAGGAAGAAAGGAGACGAGGGGUGGAGGGGUGGGUGAGGGAGAACAUGGAGAAGAAGCAGGGGGUAAGUUGGGGGGGGGGGUGCCGGUGGAGGGGGCGUUGGCCUCAGGGUAAGGUAAAGGGCAGGACAGACAGACGGUGAGACACGUUUGGUAUUUCCCUGGACAACCCACCUCCUCCACCCUCCACCUUCUCACCUACCUGCACCUCCACGAACAACUCAUCUCCGGUAUCCUCCACCCUCCACCUCGCUUCUCCGCUCACCCCACCUGGACCUCCACUUGUCUCCAUCCUUCACCUCCACCUGCAGCUCCAUCUUGCCCCUCCCCUCCUCUCGCCUGUGCCUCCAUUCCCACCAUCAAACUCAGCCUCGUCCUCUCCUCCCCCUCCCCCGGCCUCCUCCAUAAUUAUCAUUUAACCUCCACUGACCUGCCUCCUCGCCUGCUGCACUCCUCCCUCCCGCCCUUUCCUGCUUUUUCCCCUCCUCUAACCGCAGAUCAUCUCUUCCUCCCGCACCUGAUACUCCCUCCCGCCCUCCUCCCUCCUACCUAUCGCCUCAGCAUACACACACACACACACACACACACACACACACACACACACACACACACACACACACACACACACACACACACCUCUGCCAGGUCGGUAUUUAUAUCCCUUUGGCCUCACCACUCUUCCUUUCAAGAUUAAUUAACUUCUGAUGGUGACAUGCGUUCUAACUCGUGGCGAAGUGCGUGUGCGCUCACUCCAAAGAAACGGUACUUGGGUGUUUACCAGGAACGUAUUAUAAUGAUCGAUCGUUAAUGAGAUGAAUGUUACACUUCACAUGUGAGAGAGAGAGAGAGAGAGAGAGAGAGAGAGAGAGAGAGAGAGAGAGAGAGAGAAUAUAAGUAUUUGACUAAACACUUUAUGCCGAAUAUCCAUGAUUAUAGCCCGUGUCUUAUGUCGACAAAGGCUACACAGAAAUACCAUGAAACACCGUAUUAUAAAACUGAUACUGUGUCCCGGCCCCUCAGCGCCGCGGCCUGACCCGCUGCAGUGGGCAUCGCUCGCAUCUGACCGCUUGACUGUAUAAUCUUCCGGCUUCAUUUCUUUUUUGUCUCGAUCAAGAAAGGAUGUCUGUGAGGAGAACGAAGUAGCCUGCCAUGAGGUGAGGAGGGGGGGCAGCAGGUCGCGGUUAGGGCUUGUUCUUGCUGCACCUGGUCUUGUUCAAAGGAGUAUCGUAUAACGUUCAUAAUAUUCUCGGACUGUGCGGCAAAAAACAUAUUGGAAACUGCAGUGUGUUAAUUUGUAUGAAAAUCAGGGAUGUGGUAUUAUUCUUAGUAAGAGAUACGAAGAGAUGGGGGAAGGCGCGGAGAAAAAAAAAAAAAAAAAAAAAGCAAAA